UUGGAGAACUGGAUCCGUCGCCCGGAAAAAUGUGCUUCCUGUCGGAAAUGUUGAGCGGAAGUCGAAAGGCUUUCGUUGAACGAUGUGUCGCUCUGGAAAGUUGCUGGGAGCAGGCACGCAUUUGUCUUUUGAUGGAGGCGCUUCGGGAUAAAAAUUGCAGCCUCAAUGACGCCCAGUUAUUUUUUUCCAUCACCGAUUACGACAUUUUCAACGACGAAGAAAAAUUGUACAUCGAUCUGAUCGACGAUGGUCCCUCAGUAGAGAGCGCACUGUUGGUUGACAACCAACAGCCGUCGUGUUUCUUGGGUGCGCUGCAAAAAUUGGCCAUCGAACGAUUCCGAGCGGAGUUUGUGCGCUGUUUCGAGCCGUCCAUUACCGACCGGGAUAUCGAACACUUUUUGAUGCCCAACCAGCAGAUUGGCGCUCCAUGUAGCCGGGAAGCUUUAGCGGACAAGCAGCACAUCAUCCAACUUUGCCGAUCAUUUAAUCGAUUGAUCCGCACAAAGAAAGAACAAGGCGACGAAGUGCGCGAGUGGCUCCUUUGGUUUCGUGACGUCGUCAUCCCUUCGCUGAAAUCGUACGAGGCGCAUCAAGGACUCUCCGUCCACCAGAUAAUCAAAUUGUUCGAAGAGGUUGGAGAAUUUUCGCUCGACUUGUGUCGAUCCGCCACGACCGGUUGCCGACCUCACCAGUGGAUCGAUAUGCUCGCCAUUUUCGCCAUUCAGAAUUUACUCGAUCAACUCAACGAAAAGUGCCGUGAAGAUGAAGUUGAUAUUAAGAGUUCCGACAUCGUCCAACAACUUGUACAAUGGUGGCCAUCGUCCGGAGCGCCAGGAUCUUUCUUGCAUACCUUCUACCAGAAGAUUCGGCAGGAAAUGGCGGGUGAUCCGAUUCGACUGAUGAAUCUCGUCCAAGAAGUGACCAACAGGUUGACGACACCCAAGCUUCAAUUUCACGAAGACGUCAUAUUGGCCAGUUUCUCCAAUGCUUCUUUAAACGAUUGGCCGUCAGUGAUGCGCUACGCCCAGCUGGCCGUUGAUUGGACGCCCGACCUUGCCCGUCGCUUGGUGUCUAUACUCGACGUCCAAUUCGGGCAGCAAAGAAGCGACCACUUUCUUCGUUUGGUCGUUCACCGCCACCCGGAACUAAAAGAAAAAUCGGGCGACACUGCUCAUUUAAAAAACAUUCUGCAGAAUUUGUUUCGGUACCCCUGGAUUAAAGAUCGUUGGAUUGCCUUGAUCGAAAAAACUUUGAUGAAAAAGUUAAUGGCGGUGGAAGAUUCAGUUUGGAAUUCGCUGUCCGAUGCGGGUAUCAUCGAAAAAGACAUGAGAAAAUCGAGUAAAGUCGAUUUGAGUGUCGAGGACAUUUUUUCCAUCAUGAGUCGAGAUCCUGAGUCGAGCAAAGUGAUCGGAAAUUGCAGCGAAAUGGUUGAACGCAUCAGACGCAUCCGGAUUAGAGAAUUCGAAACUAAUUUCGACGUCAGAAAAUGGAGUAAUGAAUUAAAGAAGUCGAGCAGCAAAUCAUUGCAGGUGGACGAUUUUCUGGCUGUUGCUUGUCGAGUUGUUCACGAUGAAAAGGGUUACGUGCCGAGGGACGUUCAACUUAUUGCAGUCGCCGCGUUCGUCUCUUCCGAUGAUAACCGCCAAGCCGGACAUAUGAUUCGACGUAUGGGACAAAUUUCAACUGGCGAAGGAAAAACGCUCAUCUCUGCUCUGGUGGCCAUUUAUCAUGCCUUGCGCUACUGGGACGAGGAUCGACACGUUAACAUCAUUACGAGUUCUUCCGUGCUGGCCGAAGCUAACAUCGCCGAAAUCGGAUGGCUCUUCAAGGCGUUUGGAGUGAGCGUGAGCAACAAUUGUGACCAGCAAUGUUCGAACGACGAGGAUAUCAGACGUAACCGGUACAACAACGACGUCAUCUACGGCGACCUGGGCAGUUUCAUGCGUGACAUUCUGCUCACGCGCUUCUUCGAGGACAAGGACGUGACCCGCAACCGCAACCCGGGAGCCAUCAUCGUCGACGAGGUGGACUCGAUGACCCUCGAUAAAGGCGAAAACGUCCUGUACAUGUCGCACAACAUUCCCGAAAUGUACGAUCUCAUGCGGUUGUUUGUCGAAAUCUGGACGAUGGUCAACGCCCCCGACGUCGUUCGUUUGGCCGAAUCGAGUGACAUCGUCGAUGAAGUUCACCAGUUGAUCGAGCCGAUGAUUCCAACUUGCGUUCCCAAUUGUUUGAAGCAAUUUGCCGAACGGCACCUGUCGACGUGGAUCAAGAGCGCGUUCCGGGCUUGUUACCUACUCAAACCCAACGACGCCUACAAGGUGGACGAUUGCGGCGACGGACAAGGCAGACGGAUCGUCAUCAUGGACAAAGAGACGGGAGUGGAGCAAGUGCAAACGGAGUGGUCGGACGGUUUGCAACAAUUUUUGCAGUUGAAACACGGCCUGAAAUGGACGCCCAUCUCGUUGAAGGCCAUUUUCAUGUCCAACAUUGGCUACUUUAGCGAAUUUAAGGGCCGCAUGUACGGACUGACGGGCACACUUGGUUCCGCGGCCGAGUGUGACCUUCUGGGCCAAGUGUUUGGCGUCGAUUUUUUCCGCUUGCCGCGAUUCAGGCCGCGCUUUUGCCUUCAACACGAGCCGAUCAUUGCUCACGAUCGACAAAAUUGGCUCAAUGGAAUGCAAAAGAAAGUCGUCAGCGUUGCUUCGAACCAGCAGCGGGCCGUUCUUGUCGUUUGCGAGAACAUUGAAUUAGCCAACUCGAUUUACGACCGCCUUAAAGCAGACGCUUCAAUUCAAGUCGUCAAAUACGUCAGCUCAUUCGACGAGGCCUUCAAGGAGAAACAACACCAAGAAGUUCUUCCAGGUCAGGUGAUCAUUGCCACAAACUUGGCCGGCCGUGGAACAGAUUUAAAACCCAGUAAAGAGCUCCUCAACAACGGCGGUCUUCACGUGAUUAUCGGGUUUCUACCGCCCAACUCCCGCGUCGAAGCUCAAGCCGAAGGACGAACGGCCCGCUCUGGCCAACCUGGAAGUUACCAAUUUGUCAUCGAAAAUACGGAUGAGGAAAAUCGAAAAUCCCACCUAAGUGGCGAUCCUUACGGCCGGAUGCUUCAGUUGAAAUCAAAGCGCGACGAAGACGAACGGCUCCGAUUGGACAACAUCCGACGAGAAGCUCUGCCAAAGAUCCAACUGGAAGAGAAACUUUUCCACGAAUACUACGAGAAAUGCGUCCGCCCCUUGAACCAAAGAUCUCUCGAAUCAUUUCAGUCAUUUAGCACAGCUUCUAACUUGGAGCAUUUACAACAAAAUUUCAAAACGAUUAUGAGAAAUUGUUUCAACAAUCGCUGGGCGCUUUGGCUCGACGAAAAUGCCGUCUCCAUCGAGAAAGCCCAUCGCGAUCCGGUACUCGCCGACAGACUGAGCGAUAGUUUCGAUCGUCUGACAAUGUCCAUCCAAUCAUCGGACGUCGAGUCUAUCAUGUCCAGUCCGAGCGAAUGGACUAUGCUCGCCCGUUGCUACGAGGAAUCGUCGCGCCCGAGCCGUGCGGCAAAAUGUUACAAUAAAGUGGCGACUAUAGAACCGAAGUGGUGCGAAAACGCCCUGCUCGAUCGCGCCCGCCUCGCUCUGGCCGACAACGCCGGGUACGAAAAGAAAAGGGAGGCAAAAGGCUACUUGAAACGGGUCCGGAAACUGAUCGACGAUCGAAUCGAAGUGCUCACCAGUCUCAACCAACGAGUCGAUCAAUGUUUGAACAGACAAAUGGAAAACGGAUCGUCCCUCUGUCACAAGCGGUUCGAAGAACAAGUGACGAAUCAAAUCCGUUUGUGGCGAAUUCACGCGUCCAAAAUCGACAACCUGGUCGGCGUGUCGUUGAAAUCUGCCCUGGCUUCCAUCCUACCCACCGAAAACGACCAACACAUCGAUCAAGUCAUCGAGUUGCUCGGGAAGUGUUAUUUCAUUAAGCCACGCCGCUACAGGAAAGCGGCUGAAAAUUCGUUCGAUUGGCCUCCGUUCGUCACCCACUGCCGCGAGCCUCUCUUAGAUCUUGUGAAAAAUAAAAAUUGCAAACUGUCGGAUAUCGAGGACGCCAUCUACAAAGUGGAAACAAGGCUUUGGAGCAGUUUAAUUUCCGUUUACAUCGAUGAGGGCCAACUAGCUGGUGGUGGGAAAAUGAUCAAAGGCGAUCAGCACAUCGGCGAAAUACCCGACACCAUCGUAUCAAAAGCUUACCGGCGUAUUUUACCCGGUUGGUUGAAAUUUCACGACGGCCAAGAUUUUUCGCUCGUUUCCUCCACACUCGGUAUCGAAGAUAGUGGCCAAUUGAAGAAGCUGGAAAAGUGGCUGGACGGCGAGAAAUUAUUGCAAGUGACGGACAAAUGCUUUCGUCACCGCAUCCUGAAACCGAUUCCCUCGAUGGAUCGAGAUCCUGACGCUCAACUGGUGAAAGGUGUAGCCCUCUCGUCUUGCGCCGAUGUUGUAGCCACUUGGUUCUCUUCGCCCAUCGUCGAACGGAAUGGAAAUCAGUACGUUCUUCGGCCACUUUUCGAUGAACGUAAAAAGAAAUUGGCCAAACAAUUCCUCGAUUUCCUGGUCGACGUAGAAGUUCUCAAAGAUCCGGCCAUUAAAUUUCCGUCUGCAAACAGAGAGCGAUCUCGAGAAGAUAUUCAAAAAGAUUUUGAUGAGAUCAAGAAUAGGAUUAAUUCCCUCAACGGAUUCGACAAGCUUGCCAAGCUCUUUUACAGCAAAGAAGAAACAGAAAAGGCGAGAGAAGAAGAAAAGCCAAAAAGCACUUUAGAACAAAACAUUAAACAGCUGAUCCCACCGAUCGUUCCGGCCUUUGGUAGUUUGGCUGUUGCUAGCCAUUUUGCUGAGAUUAUCAACAAAGUUCAAGAGGCUGCCGCUAUGACAGAGAGAAGGAAUAAUCUGUCCGCAGCGCUUAUGCAAGCCGUUGGCAUUCAUCUCGGCCAGUUGAAAACAUUGGCGAACGUCAAGUCCUCGUUCUGUUCGUUGCAAGACGCUCUUCCGCCAGCCGGCGACGAUCAAGCGAGUCCAUUCGACGAGGUUCAACAGUUCAACAACCAGCAUUUGGAUCGCGUUCUCAAAGUUGACGAGUACGUGUCACGAUGGGAUUGGCGGAUCGGCGUCGUUGCCCUGAUUGGAGUCGCUCAACUGGUCGGCGCUAUCGCUUUCCCAUUCUUCAGUGCGGGACUCGUCGGCGAGGGCAUCAACGAUUUAAUGUUCGCCUUCCAGACCCUACAAUCACCAGGAUCCUUCACUUGGAAAUCCUACCUUGUAGACAAGGCCAAAAGUUUGGCGCUCACUGCCGUCACUAUGGGUCUGGGAGCCGCCCGGCUUGUCAAGGCGUGCGGCGGCAGUUUCAAGCAAGCGGGCAAACUGAUGUGUCGAUUCAAUGGAACACUAAAAGGAUGGUUUGAGGCCGGCAAGCAGAUCUUGAUCCAGUGCGCCAACAUGAUAUUGUCGUCCAUCAUCGGCCAGGCUGUUAGCCACUUCCUCACGUGGCUCAACAUAUUCAUCAGGGAACAGGUGCUUGAGCGCAUCAAAUCUUUCUUGUUCAGCAACUCCUUUUUGCGAGAGGCUUUCACUCGGCUCAAGGAUCUCAUGAAAUCCCUGAUGAUUGCCAUUGUCAAAAGCGGCAAGAGCGCAGACGAAGCGAGCCAAAAGAUCAAGGAAGUGCUGGAUGGAGCCACAAAUCAAUUGAAAGCCGGCGAUUGGUUUACUGAGCUUCGCACGAACGCUUCGUCAAUCACCAGUCGCAUGAUGAGAAUCUUCAACGACUCAUCAGCUGGCUUGUCCGGUUUGCAGGGCAACUACGCCGGCGAGUACCGGUCACACGCGUCCACCGGAAACACCCAAGGCAUCACUGCCGCUGUUAACGCCGGUACAAUUGAAAAGGCCAUUCAGAUGGGCAAGACUAUCGUUGAUUAUGGCCAAAAAACUACUGAAGUGAUUCAAAAGGUCAACAAUUUAGUGACUAAUUGCGAGUCGGUCAUGAAAUUAUCAACACACGGAUCGACGUACGUCGGCGAUCUGAAUGCCGCUCUACAGGACGAACUGAGAGCGAUGAAAACGAAAAAUCAGCAGGAGCAAUCAGCUGUUGGCGAAAGUGCUGGUGGCGGGUUAUCAGCAAAAGAGGCAGAACGAUUUGAAAAAUUUAUUGCUGAAACCGAGGGCGAAAUUCAAUCAUCGAUAAUGAAGGAAACUCUCGAUACGAUCCAAUCGACGUGGCUCCAGCCCAUGAUCCAACUCCAAGUCGAGAAGAGGGUAAGAAAUAUCAGCUCAAAAUUCGUCAAAAAAUACUGCCCCUCUCUCUUACCGGAAGGAGCUGACGACCUCAAAGACAAGAAUGAUUCUAAGAACGGCGCUGACGAUGGCAAAAUACCAACUGAGGAUCAAUGGAUCGAUGAAAUGGGCAAUGGAAAACCGGUCGGGCCCAUCGAAAUGCAAAACGCGGUAGACGCUUGCGGCUUCGUGCUUGAAAUAGAAGAUAAUACUGGCCAGUACACGCAAGGGACCGAAGGGGACAAGUUCCAUUACUGUCCGGAAGGAAAUCCUUAUUCGGAUAAACCCGUAGUCAAAAUGAGUUUCACGCAGAAUGACGACGGAACCAAGCACGUCUGCCUCAUCAUGCCCGAUGGAACGAAACACGAAUAUGUGCCCGAUCCUUCGGAACCACCUAACCGCUGCUUCUUCAACGCCCUUUCAAAGGCUCAAAAUGAUCCUUCGGUGGAUCACACAAUUGAAAAGUUAAAGAAUCACGCCAAAGGAAACGAUCGAGCUCGAUUCAUGAGCAAAUUGGGUGUCAACCAGAGCUACCAACACUUGCAGGCAGGUGCAUGUAGUAAAACCAGAAAUGGAAAGACCAUUUAUGAAAAAGACAAAUUGGGAAGGACCGUUCGAAUAAUUACAACGGAAACGGAGAGAAAACAGGAGCGCAAUUCCAAAAACAUGAAGGAGAUCAAGGAAAAACUAGGUUUUCAACCGGGAGACGUGUACAGUCACGAUGUCUCGCUCAACUCUGGAGGUGUCGACGAAGUUAACAAUAUUUCUAGAAUGACACACGAGUGCAAUCGCUAUCUCUACCGAGAACAUGAGGAAAACUUUGAAGAUUUUCGCGACUACAAUAAACAAAAUGGGUCACCAGAAGUGAUCACCAGGGUCAUCACAAAACAUUACGAACAUUCAGUCGGCGAAAUACUGCGCAUGGAGAAGGAAGGAAAAUAUGCCGACCGUUACAAAACCAAGGGUUACCAGCACAAUUUUUAUACUGGAUCACUGGAGCAACCAACUAACCAGUACUUGAGUGGCUUCAUUCCCAAUUGUAAUGGACAACAAGCAAGCAUCUUUUUAAUGCGAAAUAAUGAUUUGAGAAGAAUGAAGAGGACCGAUGCGCGCAGAAGAGCAACCAAUGUUCCGUUCGUCAGCGGACGUAAAUUCGAAACAUUUUUUCUUGAUCGCAAUUAAUAAGGCCCAUAUGGAAAAUUAACACGAUGACAUCUUGACAGUAACCAGUGCAGCUUAUGAUUUUAAUUAAUCAAUCCUUGUAAUUUUUUUGUUUUUUUGUUAGCCAUUUACUAAUUAAACUGAUGCCCAUACUAUGUCAACCACGCGAAUCCUUUUCUUCUGUGCAGCACAUUAUUUACAGACUAUCGGUAGAGUCGCCAAGCUCUUCUCAACAAAGACUUAUUCGAUCCAUCGCUGGGUGAAUUUAUUAAGUGUGGAUGUAUAUAUCCUUAUAGCCUUCUGGUCUGACCCGUUCAACUAAUCAGUUUUGUUCCCCGGUUGCGUUAAUCAUCAUUAGAAAAUUUUAUGGUGAAAAUGAUUUUCUUUACCUUCGUCCAUGAUUUGGAAUCGUUUAAGAUUGUUUUUCUUUUUCACAAAAUGACGAAAAUGUUGAUCCUUCAGGUUCUACAGGGCACCCGGCACCACUGUCAUUCAGAAACCGGCUUCGGGGUGACAUAAAAGUGAUAUUCGUACCACAAAUAAAGACAACGACGACGUGAUUUUACUUCA
RNAcentral lists this unclassified non-coding RNA (8033 nucleotides) under Daphnia pulex (common water flea). RNAcentral's name for it is "uncharacterized LOC124188592, transcript variant X1". Lineage: Eukaryota; Metazoa; Arthropoda; Branchiopoda; Diplostraca; Daphniidae. The record is from RNAcentral.